This is a long non-coding RNA of Syzygium oleosum, 702 nucleotides long. RefSeq lists it as uncharacterized. NCBI's taxonomy places the organism in Eukaryota, Viridiplantae, Streptophyta, Magnoliopsida, Myrtales, Myrtaceae. The record is from RefSeq and is a predicted model, not a curated record. The transcript has 2 exons.
GCGUAGGUGCUAUUGAUGGCACCCAUAUUCAUGCUACCGUACCUGAACAUAUGCAAUCACGAUUUAGAGGUAGAAAAGGCAGAACUACUCAGAACGUGUUGUGUGUGUGUUCCUUUGAUAUGCGAUUUACUUUUGUGUAUGCUAGUUGGGAAGGAUCAGCCAACGAUUGUCGGGUGUUGUCGGCUGCACUUGGCACACCUCACCUACAAUUUCCUCGACCGCCCCGCAGUACUACGUCGUCGAUUCUGGUUAUGCUUCAAGUCCAGGAUUUUUAACACAAUUUAAAGGCGAACGGUAUCAUAUACCAGAAUUUCGACGAAGUGGGGGACCAACAACAGCAAAGGAAUUGUUCAACCACAGGCAUUCUUCAUUAAGGAAUAUCAUUGAGAGAUCCUUUGCGGCUUUAAAGAAUCGUUUUUUUGUUUUGAGACAGAUGCCUCCAUUUAAAUUUGAAAAACAAAUACAGAUUGUAAUUGCAUGCUGUGCGAUCCAUAACUACAUCAUUGAGCAAGAUAGGAUGGAUAAGUGUUUGUCCAUAUAUGGAGAUCCGGAUUAUGUGUGUGAACCUACUGAACAGGGUACAGACGAUGUAGCAACGAUCGAAGAGGGAACCGAGACGAACAUUAUUAGGAAACGUAUUGCCAAUAAAAUGGCUAGGGAUAAUCAUAUGCCGGAGAUUCCAUGAAGUUCGGUUUUCCACUA